Molecule: small RNA, 2456 nt
Filed under: Pongo abelii (Sumatran orangutan)
Lineage: Eukaryota; Metazoa; Chordata; Mammalia; Primates; Hominidae
Description: retained intron
Source: RNAcentral
AGAAUGGCUCUCGUUGAGUGCAUAGCACCAGCGUGUGUCAUGUCUUGGCUGCGUUUCUGGGGCCCAUGGCCCCUCCUUACGUGGCAACUAUUGUGUCUACUAGUCAAGGAGGCUCAGCCUCUGGUGUGGGUCAAGGACCCGCUCCAGCUGACCUCUAACCCCUUGGGGCCACCUGAGCCCCGGUCUUCCCGCUCCUCCCAUCUCCCAUGGGAAUCUCCCCAUGCACCUGCUACCCCAGCAGCCCCGGGGGACUUUGAUUAUCUGGGGCCCUCUGCUUCUUCGCAGAUGUCAUCCCUGCCCCAGGAAUUGUCUGAAAAUUUGCCUCCAUUCCUGGACACGGAUUCAGCUGGAGAGCUGCCCCUGGGGCCAGAGCAGUUCUUGGUUGCACAUCAGGAUGUAAAUGACAAGCUGACUCCGCAAGAAAGGCUCCCAGAGGUGGUUCCACUGCUGGACCGGGAUCAGAACCAGGCCCUAGUUCAGCUUCCUCGCCUCAAAAGUAAGGUUCAAACUGCAGAUCUAGAUCGGGCUGCAGGUCAUCAGGCAGAUGAAAUACUUGUUCCACUAGACAGUAAGGUUCCAAAACCAACCAAAUUUGUUGUUUCGCCCAAGAACCUGAAGAAAGAUCUAGCUGAGCGUUGGAGCCUUGCUGAGAUUGUUGGGAUUCCACACCAAUUAUCCAAACCUCAGCGUCAGAAGCAGACUUUGCAGGAUGAAUAUUCGAGUAUGGACACACUGUAUCCUGGCAGCCUGCCUCUGGAACUCCAGGUGAAUGCAGAUGAGCCUCCAGGGCCUCCUGAGCAAGUUGGACUUUCUCAAUUCCAUCUAGAGCCCAAAAGUCAAAAUCCAGAGACCCUUGAAGACAUCCAGUCCUCUUCACUCCAGGAAGAAGCCCCAGCGCAGCUUCUACAGCUCCCUCAGGAGGUAGAAACUUCAACCCAGCAGGAGGCCCCAGCUCUGCCUCCAGAGUCCUCUAUGGAGAGUCUAGCUCAAACUCCACUGAAUCAUGAGGUGACAGUUCAACCUCCAGGUGAGGAUCAAGCUCAUUAUGACUUGCCCAACAUUACAGUCAGACCUGCAGAUGUGGAGGUUACCAUGACUUCAGAGCCCAAAAGUGAGACAGAAUCUUCCCAAGCCCAGCAGGAGGCCCCAAUUCAGCCUCCAGAGGAAGUGGAACCUUCUUCUACAGCCCUGAUGACUACAGCUCCUCCUCCAGAACACCCUGAGGUGACACUUCCACCUUCAGACAAGGGUCAGGCUCAGCAUUCACACUUGACUGAAGCCACAGUUCAACCUCUGGUCCUGGAGCUUAGCAAAACUACGGAGCCUACUACAGAGAUUAAACCAUCUCCAACCACGGAGGAAACCUCAGCUCAGCCUCCAGACCCGGGGCUUGCCAUAACUCCAGAACCCACUACAGAGAUUGGACAUUCCACAGUCCUGGAGAAGACUACAGCUCCUCAUCCAGACCAGGUUCAGACUCUACAUCGAAGCCUGACUGAAGUCACAGGUCCACCUACAAAGUUAGAAUAUUCGCAGGGUUCAUUGGUGCAGUCUGAAACUGCACCAGAGGAACAGAUGGCCUCCACAAGCACCAACAUAUGUGAGCUCUGUACCUGCGGAGAUGAGACUCUGUCAUGUGUUGAUCUCAGCCCAAAGCAGAGGCUCCACCAAGUGCCUGUGCCAGAGCCCAACACCUACAAUGGCAUCUUCACCACCUUAAAUUUCCAAGGAAACUAUAUUUCAUAUAUUGAUGGAAAUGUAUGGAAAGCAUACAGUUGGACCGAAAAAUUAAUUCUCAGUGAAAAUUAUUUGACUGAAUUACAUAAGGAUUCAUUUGAAGGCCUGCUAUCCCUCCAGUAUUUAGAUUUAUCCUGCAAUAAAAUACGGUAUAUUGAAAGACAUACAUUUGAAUCACUACCAUUUUUGCAGUAUAUAAAUCUGGGUUGCAAUUUAAUUACGGAACUGAGCUUUGGAACAUUUCAGGCCUGGCACGGAAUGCAGUUUUUACACAACUUGAGCUGAUAGCCCAGGAGACUGACAUGUAGACAGGUGGUUACAUGCAGUGUAACGAAGGCUGUGAUGUCAUACAAGAAGACAAGUGGGAAAUUCUCAGUCGCAAUCCUCUGACUGCUGUCGAAGAUCCAUAUCUCUUUGAACUGCCGGCAUUAAAAUAUCUAGACAUGGGAACAACGCACAUCACACUUACAACACUUAAGAACAUUCUCAUGAUGACUGUUGAACUGGAAAAACUGUAAGUUAUUUUUUUCUUAGAUUUAUUUUUAAUUAGUUGGUUUUUUAGGUUUGUUUUAUUGUUUUCUUAAGUCUUAAAUUAUAUUGAGAUAUAAUUUUCAUAUAACAUUCACCCUUUAUAAGUGUAUAGUUUGAUGAAUUUUGACAAAUGUAUAGUUACAUAACCACCACCACAUUCCCAAUAUAAAGCAUUUCUGUCACCUCAG